GCGGGAAUAGCUCAGUUGGUAGAGCAUAACCUUGCCAUGGUUAGGGUCGCGAGUUCGAGCCUCGUUUCCCGCUCCA
This 76-nucleotide transfer RNA is filed under the name Anaerobiospirillum sp. RNAcentral's name for it is "tRNA-Gly". It matches the Rfam family "tRNA". Rfam says of the family: Transfer RNA (tRNA) molecules are approximately 80 nucleotides in length. Their secondary structure includes four short double-helical elements and three loops (D, anti-codon, and T loops). The record is from RNAcentral. Lineage: Bacteria; Pseudomonadati; Pseudomonadota; Gammaproteobacteria; Aeromonadales; Succinivibrionaceae. RNAcentral also lists the same sequence under 5 other names.